AGGAGCAUGCCAUAUAUGAGACAUCAUCACCUCUCCUCACUUGCCUGUCCUAAGAAAGUGUUGUUACUAUACCCUCUGAUCCUUACUGAUGCAUGCUGUGCACUUGACAGGGUGAGGAGAGUAGAUCACCUUAACUCAGCUUCAUUUAGCUCACCAAGAACACAGCUUAGCAGUCCACACGGCCCUUAUACUAAUGCAGUGCCUAAUUAUUUUUUUUUUUUUUUUUUGCAUAGGUUGGUGAGCACAAUACUAUUCCUUGUGUUUGAGUCUAUCAACAUUUUUCUUGGCCUGGCAUCAGGUUCAAGUCACAUUUUUUGAGUGGAUCAGUUUGAAACAUUUGCCCAGUCAAGAUGAAGCAGGAGCUACAAGAAGAUGUACUAAGUACAAGGCCACAGGAAGAGGAGACGUGAGCUGGCUGGCAAGGAGCACAAUUCUUACCCAUCGUUCUCCAGCAUCAUCUUCACAGUCCUCUGCUGGACUUGUUCAUGCCUGUUAACAUCUUUCUUCACCAAGAGGGCUCAAACCUAGAUGUGAUCAAACAAGUGCCUAGAAAAGGGGAAUAAUCCCUCCCUAUGGUCUCCUGCUUUCCUUCUGUUCAUGCUGCCCAGGAUGCAGUUGAACUUCUCUACCAGGGCAUACCAUGGCUCGCAUUCAGGUUGCUUUCAACCAUAGGUUCAGAGGACCCCUGAGGCCUUUUCAUCAGAGCUGCUCCCCAGCCUGCAUGAUUGCUAAGGGUUCUUACAUUCCAGAUGCAAGACCUGAUGAAGUUUCUACAGUCAACCCUCAGCUGAAAGCCAACACCCACUGCCUACAACCAGUAACUGGGGAAGAAGACUUAAACAGCAGACUUCCCUUAACAUGGACAGGUUACAUCAAUGACAUUGGCACUAAAGAGAAGACAACUGCAUGUUCAAGAGCUGAUUAACAGCAUUACAAUUUGAAAGAAAAAAGGUCUCCUGCAAGAUUUACAAACUUAAAGCCCAUGCAACACAGCCAGGGAGGAUGGGUGGAGUCACAAGGCAAAAAGAUAAAAUUCCUGCCACUCUUUUCAGAAAAGAAAGUUUAAUAAAUUAAACUGGAACAGACGUUCAGAUGGACACUCCUGUUCCAGUAACUCGGCAGCCUUUUCCACUCAGAUAUAUUUGUGCUGCUCUCUAGGCUGCCAGCCCUACUUUUCAUCUAUUAACCCAAGACUUGAUAUCUCAAAUCUCAACAGAUAUCAAUGGGAUCAGAGGACAAGACAUCAUGGGACACCACCAAGCUAAGCCCACAACAGUGCAGUUCAAAGUCUGUGUACAGAUUUAAACCUUCCUUACACCACCACUUAUUUUAGUGCAAUUAUGCUCACACACUUCAUUAGUAAGGCCUGAAUAUUCAGAUACAAGUUCAAAGAACUGUUUAAGCAUUUUAAAAAGUUGCUAAAAUCUUAAUGUAUGUGUAAGACUUUCUGACAUCAUAGGGACUUGGCAUUUGUUCUAGGGUUUUCCUUAAUUCCUUAAUAAAGGACAGACUUCUGGAA
Long non-coding RNA from Neopsephotus bourkii (Bourke's parrot), 1519 nucleotides. RefSeq lists it as uncharacterized. Lineage: Eukaryota; Metazoa; Chordata; Aves; Psittaciformes; Psittacidae. The transcript has 2 exons. The record is from RefSeq and is a predicted model, not a curated record.